CCCUUAGAUGUCCGGGGCUGCACGCGCGCUACACUGAAGGAAUCAGCGUGCUAAAACCAUUGUCGAAAGGCAUUGGUAAACCCAUUAAAAUCCUACGUGAUUGGGAUCGGGAAUUGCAAUUAUUUCCCUUGAACGAGGAAUUCCCAGUAAGUGUGGGUCAUAAGCUCGCGUUGAUUACGUCCCUGCCCUUUGUACACACCGCCCGUCGCUGCCCGGGACUGAGCCGUUUCGAGAAAAGCGGGGACUGCUGCUGUCGGGGCUUUCGGGCCUUGGCUGCGGUGGAAACCGCUUUAAUCGCAGUGGCUUGAACCGGGCAAAAGUCGUAACA
Molecule: ribosomal RNA, 328 nt
Filed under: uncultured eukaryote
Lineage: Eukaryota
Description: partial 18S ribosomal RNA
Rfam family: Eukaryotic small subunit ribosomal RNA
Source: RNAcentral